RNAcentral lists this ribosomal RNA (238 nucleotides) under uncultured bacterium. RNAcentral's name for it is "partial 16S ribosomal RNA". It matches the Rfam family "Bacterial small subunit ribosomal RNA", at positions 15 to 230 of the family's 1533-position model. The record is from RNAcentral.
GAUCCUGGCUCAGGACGAACGCUGGCGGCGUGCUUAACACAUGCAAGUCGAACGAAGAGCGAUGGAAGCUUGCUUCUAUCAAUCUUAGUGGCGAACGGGUGAGUAACGCGUAAUCAACCUGCCCUUCAGAGGGGGACAACAGUUGGAAACGACUGCUAAUACCGCAUACGAUCCAAUCUCGGCAUCGAGACUGGAUGAAAGGUGGCCUCUAUUUAUAAGCUAUCACUGAAGGGGGGGA